This 457-nucleotide ribosomal RNA is filed under the name uncultured bacterium. RNAcentral's name for it is "partial 16S ribosomal RNA". It matches the Rfam family "Bacterial small subunit ribosomal RNA", at positions 338 to 795 of the family's 1533-position model. The record is from RNAcentral.
CCUACGGGAGGCUGCAGUGGGGAAUAUUGCACAAUGGGGGAAACCCUGAUGCAGCGACGCCGCGUGAGUGAAGAAGUAUUUCGGUAUGUAAAGCUCUAUCAGCAGGGAAGAAAUAAAGUCCUUCGGACUUUGGACGGUACCUGACUAAGAAGCCCCGGCUAAUUCCGUGCCAGCAGCCGCGGUAAUACGGAAGGUCCGGGCGUUAUCCGGCUUUAUUGGGUUUAAAGGGAGCGUAGGCCGAAUGGCAAGCGUGCUGUGAAAUGUCCGGGCUCAACCCGGGCCUUGCAGCGCGGACUGGCGUGCUUGAGUCCGCGGAAAGCAGGCGGAAUUCGUCGUGUAGCGGUGAAAUGCUUAGAUAUGACGAAGAACCCCGAUUGCGAAGGCAGCUUGCUGCAGCGGAACUGACGCUGAUGCUCGAAAGCGCGGGUAUCGAACAGGAUUAGAUACCCCGGUAGUC